CGACCGGCGCACGGGUGAGUAACGCGUAUCCAACCUGCCCACCACUUGGGAUAACCUUGCGAAAGUAAGACUAAUUCCCAAUGAUAUCUCUAGAAGACAUCUGAAAGAGAUUAAAGAUUUAUCGGUGAUGGAUGGGGAUGCGUCUGAUUAGCUUGUUGGCGGGGUAACGGCCCACCAAGGCGACGAUCAGUAGGGGUUCUGAGAGGAAGGUCCCCCACAUUGGAACUGAGACACGGUCCAA
This 241-nucleotide ribosomal RNA is filed under the name uncultured bacterium. Its description in RNAcentral is "partial 16S ribosomal RNA". It matches the Rfam family "Bacterial small subunit ribosomal RNA", at positions 92 to 334 of the family's 1533-position model. The record is from RNAcentral.